RNAcentral lists this microRNA (21 nucleotides) under Lotus japonicus. RNAcentral's name for it is "lja-miR7533d-3p". The record is from miRBase by way of RNAcentral. Lineage: Eukaryota; Viridiplantae; Streptophyta; Magnoliopsida; Fabales; Fabaceae.
GAAGCUGGAUGGAGAGGAUCC